ACCAGAAUGGCCGAGAGGUUAAGUCGUUGGACUUAAGAUCCAAUGGCCAAAUGUCCUCGUGGGUUCGAACCUCACUCCUGGUA
Molecule: transfer RNA, 83 nt
Filed under: Danionella translucida
Lineage: Eukaryota; Metazoa; Chordata; Actinopteri; Cypriniformes; Danionidae
Also listed under: 1 other name
Rfam family: tRNA
About the family: Transfer RNA (tRNA) molecules are approximately 80 nucleotides in length.
Source: Rfam by way of RNAcentral